This 510-nucleotide ribosomal RNA is filed under the name uncultured bacterium. RNAcentral describes it as "partial 16S ribosomal RNA". It matches the Rfam family "Bacterial small subunit ribosomal RNA", at positions 28 to 507 of the family's 1533-position model. The record is from RNAcentral.
GACGAACGCUGGCGGCGUGCUUAACACAUGCAAGUCGAACGAAGAGCGACGGAAGCUUGCUUCUAUCAAUCUUAGUGGCGAACGGGUGAGUAACGCGUAAUCAACCUGCCCUUCAGAGGGGGACAACAGUUGGAAACGACUGCUAAUACCGCAUACGAUCUAAUCUCGGCAUCGAGGAUGGAUGAAAGGUGGCCUCUACAUGUAAGCUAUCACUGAAGGAGGGGAUUGCGUCUGAUUAGCUAGUUGGAGGGGUAACGGCCCACCAAGGCGAUGAUCAGUAGCCGGUCUGAGAGGAUGAACGGCCACAUUGGGACUGAGACACGGCCCAGACUCCUACGGGAGGCAGCAGUGGGGAAUCUUCCGCAAUGGACGAAAGUCUGACGGAGCAGCGCCGCGUGAGUGAUGACGGCCUUCGGGUUGUGAAGCUCUGUUAAUCGGGACGAAAGGCCUUCUUGCGAAUAGGGAGAAGGAUUGACGGUACCGGAAUAGAAAGCCACGGCUAACUACGUG